RNAcentral lists this ribosomal RNA (1371 nucleotides) under Staphylinoidea sp. 1 KM-2017. RNAcentral's name for it is "16S ribosomal RNA". The record is from RNAcentral. Lineage: Eukaryota; Metazoa; Arthropoda; Insecta; Coleoptera.
CAUUAAAAAGUUAAUUGUGUAAAUCAAUUUAAUUUGAUUUUUAUAUAAUUAUAUUUUAUAUUAUAAAUAAAAUAUUUUUUUGUUUAAUUAUUGAUAUAGAAAUAAUUUAAAUUAUUAUAGAAAAUUAGUAUUGUAAAAGAAUUUAUUUGUAAAUUAUUAAAGAAAAAUUUAUUUUUUGUACCUUGUGUAUCAGGGUUUAUUAAUUAAAUUUUAUAAAUAGUUAAUUUUCUCGAUUUUAAAAGAGUGAUUUAUUUAUAAAUUUUAUUGUAAAAUAAAUAUUUAAAAUAAAUAAAUGGUAAUGAAAUGUUAUUCGUUUUUAAAUAUAUCUAGUUUUUAAAGAAAAAAAUUUAAUUUUAUAAUAAUAUAAGAAUUAUUUAUUAUUUAAAAUGAAUAAUUAUAUAUUUUUAUUAUAUUAAUAGGGAUAAGCUUAUUAAUAAAACAUUAAAAAUUAAUAUUAAUAGUAAUUUAAUUAGUAGGAUUAGAAAUUUUUUUCAGUUAAUUUGUUAUAAUUAAUUAAAGUAAUAAAAAGAUUUAUAUUAGUUUUAAUUUUUUUAUUUAAACAUUAGGUUUAAUAAUAAAAUUUAAGAGAUAAUGAUAGAAUUAGUAUAAAAUUUUGUUAUAAGAUUUUAAAUAUAAAGGUUAUAUAAAGGAAUUCGGCAAAUUUAUUUUUCGCCUGUUUAUUAAAAACAUGUCUUUUAGAUUAUAAUUUAAAGUCUAGCCUGCCCAAUGAUUUAUUAAAUGGCCGCAGUAUUUUGACUGUGCAAAGGUAGCAUAAUCAUUAGUUUUUUAAUUGAAAACUGGAAUGAAAGGUUGGACGAAAAAAUAACUGUCUCUAUAUAAAUGGUUUAUAAUUUUAUUUUUAAGUUAAAAAGCUUAAAUUUUAUUAAAAGACGAGAAGACCCUAUAGAGUUUAAUAAUUAUAUUUAUAAUAAUAAUUUUAUUAUAUUAAAUAUUUUAUAUAAUAUAAUUAUUUAGUUGGGGUGAUUGAAAAAUUUAAUUAACUUUUUUUUUAUAAAAAACAUAAAUUUAUGAUUUUUUGAUCCAUUAUUAAUGAUUAAAAGAUUAAAUUACCUUAGGGAUAACAGCGUAAUUUUUUUGGAGAGUUCUAAUCGAUAGAAAAGUUUGCGACCUCGAUGUUGGAUUAAAAUAAAGAUUUGGUGUAGUAGCUAAAUUAUUAGGUCUGUUCGACCUUUAAAUUUUUACAUGAUCUGAGUUUAGACCGGUGUAAGCCAGGUCGGUUUCUAUCUUUAAUUUAUAUAAAUAUUUUAGUACGAAAGGACCAAGUAUUUAUGAUAGUAAUUUAUAUAUGAAAAUUAUUAAUAUUAUUUUGGCAGAAUAGUGCAUUAAAUUUAGAAUUUAAUUAUAUAAUUU